AUUGAACGCUGGCGGCAGGCCUAACACAUGCAAGUCGAGCGGAUGAAGGGAGCUUGCUCCUGGAUUCAGCGGCGGACGGGUGAGUAAUGCCUAGGAAUCUGCCUGGUAGUGGGGGAUAACGUCCGGAAACGGGCGCUAAUACCGCAUACGUCCUGAGGGAGAAAGUGGGGGAUCUUCGGACCUCACGCUAUCAGAUGAGCCUAGGUCGGACUAGCUAGUUGGUGGGGUAAAGGCCUACCAAGGCGACGAUCCGUAACUGGUCUGAGAGGAUGAUCAGUCACACUGGAACUGAGACACGGUCCAGACUCCUACGGGAGGCAGCAGUGGGGAAUAUUGGACAAUGGGCGAAAGCCUGAUCCAGCCAUGCCGCGUGUGUGAAGAAGGUCUUCGGAUUGUAAAGCACUUUAAGUUGGGAGGGAGGGCAGUAAGUUAAUACCUUGCUGUUUUGACGUUACCAACAGAAUAAGCACCGGCUAACUUCGUG
This 484-nucleotide ribosomal RNA is filed under the name uncultured bacterium. RNAcentral's name for it is "partial 16S ribosomal RNA". It matches the Rfam family "Bacterial small subunit ribosomal RNA", at positions 30 to 507 of the family's 1533-position model. The record is from RNAcentral.